CCCUACGGGGGGCAGCAGUGAGGAAUAUUGGUCAAUGGCCGAAGGGCUGAACCAGCCAAGCCGCGUGAAGGAAUAAGGCCCUACGGGUCGUAAACUUCUUUAGUCAGGGAACAAAGGGAGCCACGCGUGGCGCUGUGAGUGUACCUGAAGAAUAAGCAUCGGCUAACUCCGUGCCAGCAGCCGCGGUAAUACGGAGGAUGCGAGCGUCAUCCGGAUUUAUUGGGUUUAAAGGGUGCGUAGGCGGACUGUCAAGUCAGCGGUAAAUACGGGGGCUCAACCUCCGCCCGCCGUUGAAACUGACGGUC
This 305-nucleotide ribosomal RNA is filed under the name uncultured bacterium. RNAcentral describes it as "bacterial SSU rRNA". It matches the Rfam family "Bacterial small subunit ribosomal RNA", at positions 337 to 641 of the family's 1533-position model. The record is from RNAcentral.